GGUCCAGGUAGCUGCCUUCGCCAUGGAUGUUCCUCCUGAUCUCUACGCAUUUCACUGCUACACCAGGAAUUCCGCUACCCUCUACCACACUCUAGUCGCCCAGUAUCCACUGCAGUUCCCAGGUUGAGCCCAGGGCUUUCACAACGGACUUAAACGACCACCUACGCACGCUUUACGCCCAGUAAUUCCGAGUAACGCUUGCACCCUUCGUAUUACCGCGGCUGCUGGCACGAAGUUAGCCGGUGCUUAUUCUUUGGGUACCGUCAUCCCAACCGGGUAUUAGCCAGCUGGAUUUCUUUCCCAACAAAAGGGCUUUACAACCCGAAGGCCUUCUUCACCCACGCGGUAUGGCUGGAUCAGGCUUGCGCCCAUUGUCCAAUAUUCCCCACUGCUGCCUCCCGUAGGAGUCUGGACCGUGUCUCAGUUCCAGUGUGGCUGAUCAUCCUCUCAGACCAGCUACGGAUCGUCGCCUUGGUGGGCCUUUACCCCGCCAACUAGCUAAUCCGACAUCGGCUCAUUCAAUCGCGCAAGGUCCGAAGAUCCCCUGCUUUCACCCGUAGGUCGUAUGCGGUAUUAGCGUAAGUUUCCCUACGUUAUCCCCCACGACAGAGUAGAUUCCGAUGUAUUCCUCACCCGUCCGCCACUCGCCACCCAAAGAGCAAGCUCCUCUGUGCUGCCGUUCGACUUGCAUGUGUUAGGCCUACCGCCA
RNAcentral lists this ribosomal RNA (709 nucleotides) under Stenotrophomonas sp. RNAcentral's name for it is "partial 16S rRNA". The record is from RNAcentral. Lineage: Bacteria; Pseudomonadati; Pseudomonadota; Gammaproteobacteria; Lysobacterales; Lysobacteraceae.